CCUACGGGUGGCAGCAGUGGGGAAUAUUGGACAAUGGGGGGAACCCUGAUCCAGCGACGCAGCGUGAGUGAAGAAGUAUUUCGGUAUGUAAAGCUCUAUCAGCAGGGAAGAAAAUGACGGUACCUGACUAAGAUGCCCAGGCUAACAACGUUCCAGCAGCCGAGGUAAUACGUAUGUGGCAAGCGUUCUCCGGAUUUACUGGGUGUAAAGGGAGCGUAGACGGUGCAGCAAGUCUGAUGUGAAAGGUCGGGGCCCAACCCCGGGACUGCAUUGGAAAAUGUUGAUCUGGAGUACAGGCGAGGUAAGCGGAAUUCCUAGUGUAGCGGUGAAAUGCGUAGAUAUUAGGAGGAACACCAGUGGCGAAGGCGGCUUACUGGACUGUAACUGACGUUGAGGCUCGAAAGCGUGGGGAGCAAACAGGAUUAGAUACCCGUGUAGUC
Molecule: ribosomal RNA, 440 nt
Filed under: uncultured bacterium
Lineage: Bacteria
Description: partial 16S ribosomal RNA
Rfam family: Bacterial small subunit ribosomal RNA
Source: RNAcentral